RNAcentral lists this ribosomal RNA (516 nucleotides) under uncultured bacterium. RNAcentral describes it as "partial 16S ribosomal RNA". It matches the Rfam family "Bacterial small subunit ribosomal RNA", at positions 28 to 523 of the family's 1533-position model. The record is from RNAcentral.
GACGAACGCUGGCGGCAUGCCUAAUACAUGCAAGUCGAGCGGAGUUGAUGGAAAGCUUGCUUUCCUGAUACUUAGCGGCGGACGGGUGAGUAACACGUAGGCAACCUGCCCUCAAGCUUGGGACAACUACCGGAAACGGUAGCUAAUACCGAAUACUUGUUUUCUUCGCCUGAAGAGAACUGGAAAGACGGAGCAAUCUGUCACUUGGGGAUGGGCCUGCGGCGCAUUAGCUAGUUGGUGAGGUAACGGCUCACCAAGGCGACGAUGCGUAGCCGACCUGAGAGGGUGAUCGGCCACACUGGGACUGAGACACGGCCCAGACUCCUACGGGAGGCAGCAGUAGGGAAUCUUCCGCAAUGGGCGAAAGCCUGACGGAGCAAUGCCGCGUGAGUGAUGAAGGUUUUCGGAUCGUAAAGCUCUGUUGCCAGGGAAGAGCGCUUGAGAGAGUAACUGCUCUCAAGGUGACGGUACCUGAGAAGAAAGCCCUGGCUAACUACGUGCCAGCAGCCGCCGUAA